CUAAUCUGCGAUAAGCGCCGGUAAGGUGAUAUGAACCGUUAUAACCGGCGAUACCCGAAUGGGGAAACCCAGUGUGACUCGUCACACUAUCAUUAACUGAAUCCAUAGGUUAAUGAGGCGAACCGGGGGAACUGAAACAUCUAAGUACCCCGAGGAAAAGAAAUCAACCGAGAUUCCCCCAGUAGCGGCGAGCGAACGGGGAGGAGCCCAGAGCCUGAAUCAGCAUGUGUGUUAGUGGAAGCGUCUGGAAAGGCGCGCGAUACAGGGUGACAGCCCCGUACACAAAAGCGCAUGUGCUGUGAGCUCGAUGAGUAGGGCGGGACACGUGGUAUCCUGUCUGAAUAUGGGGGGACCAUCCUCCAAGGCUAAAUACUCCUGACUGACCGAUAGUGAACCAGUACCGUGAGGGAAAGGCGAAAAGAACCCCGGCGAGGGGAGUGAAAAAGAACCUGAAACCGUGUACGUACAAGCAGUGGGAGCACCCUUUGGGUGUGACUGCGUACCUUUUGUAUAAUGGGUCAGCGACUUAUAUUCUGUAGCAAGGUUAACCGAAUAGGGGAGCCGGAGGGAAACCGAGUCUUAACCGGGCGUUAAGUUGCAGGGUAUAGACCCGAAACCCGGUGAUCUAGCCAUGGGCAGGUUGAAGGUUGGGUAACACUAACUGGAGGACCGAACCGACUAAUGUUGAAAAAUUAGCGGAUGACCUGUGGCUGGGGGUGAAAGGCCAAUCAAACCGGGAGAUAGCUGGUUCUCCCCGAAAGCUAUUUAGGUAGCGCCUCGUGAAUUCAUCUCCGGGGGUAGAGCACUGUUUCGGCUAGGGGGCCAUCCCGGCUUACCAACCCGAUGCAAACUGCGAAUACCGGAGAAUGUUAUCACGGGAGACACACGGCGGGUGCUAACGUCCGUCGUGAAGAGGGAAACAACCCAGACCGCCAGCUAAGGUCCCAAAGUCAUGGUUAAGUGGGAAACGAUGUGGGAAGGCCCAGACAGCCAGGAUGUUGGCUUAGAAGCAGCCAUCAUUUAAAGAAAGCGUAAUAGCUCACUGGUCGAGUCGGCCUGCGCGGAAGAUGUAACGGGGCUAAACCAUG
This 1088-nucleotide ribosomal RNA is filed under the name Salmonella enterica subsp. enterica serovar Enteritidis. RNAcentral's name for it is "partial 23S ribosomal RNA". It matches the Rfam family "Bacterial large subunit ribosomal RNA", at positions 61 to 1191 of the family's 2925-position model. Lineage: Bacteria; Pseudomonadati; Pseudomonadota; Gammaproteobacteria; Enterobacterales; Enterobacteriaceae. The record is from RNAcentral.